This 500-nucleotide ribosomal RNA is filed under the name uncultured bacterium. Its description in RNAcentral is "partial 16S ribosomal RNA". It matches the Rfam family "Bacterial small subunit ribosomal RNA", at positions 28 to 507 of the family's 1533-position model. The record is from RNAcentral.
GACGAACGCUGGCGGCGUGCCUAAUACAUGCAAGUCGAGCGGACUGAUUAAGAGCUUGCUCUUAUGACGUUAGCGGCGGACGGGUGAGUAACACGUGGGCAACCUGCCCUGUAGAUCGGGAUAACACCGAGAAAUCGGUGCUAAUACCGGGUAAUAUCUGAGAUCACAUGAUCUUAGGCUAAAAGAUGGCUCCGGCUAUCACUACAGGAUGGGCCCGCGGCGCAUUAGCUAGUUGGUAAGGUAAUGGCUUACCAAGGCGACGAUGCGUAGCCGACCUGAGAGGGUGAUCGGCCACACUGGGACUGAGACACGGCCCAGACUCCUACGGGAGGCAGCAGUAGGGAAUCUUCCGCAAUGGACGAAAGUCUGACGGAGCAACGCCGCGUGAGUGAUGAAGGGUUUCGGCUCGUAAAGCUCUGUUGUUAGGGAAGAAACAGUACCGAACGAACUAGGUCGGUACCUUGACGGUACCUAACCAGAAAGCCACGGCUAACUACGUG